This is an RNA transcript of Octodon degus (degu), 1573 nucleotides long. It is a transcript of the gene named ubiquitin carboxyl-terminal hydrolase BAP1 pseudogene, with no coding region annotated. The transcript has 2 exons. NCBI's taxonomy places the organism in Eukaryota, Metazoa, Chordata, Mammalia, Rodentia, Octodontidae. The record is from RefSeq and is a predicted model, not a curated record.
CUGUAGGGCCUGGACAUGGCGCUGAGGGGCUGCCCCGCUGGAAGAUGAAUAAAGGCUGGCUGGAGCUGGAAAGCGACCCGGGCCUCUUCACCCUCUUGGUGGAAGAUUUUGGUGUCAAAGGUGUGCAAGUGGAGGAGAUCUAUGACCUCCAGAGCAAAUGCCAGGGCCCUGUAUAUGGAUUCAUCUUCCUGUUUAAAUGGAUAGAAGAACGCAGGUCCCGUCGCAAGGUGUCUACCUUGGUGGAUGAUACAUCUGUGAUUGACGACGAUAUUGUGAAUAAUAUGUUCUUUGCCCACCAGCUGAUCCCCAACUCCUGUGCCACUCAUGCCUUGCUGAGCGUGCUCCUGAACUGCAGCAGUGUGGACCUAGGACCUACCCUGAGUCGCAUGAAGGAUUUCACCAAAGGCUUCAGCCCUGAGAGCAAAGGAUAUGCAAUUGGCAAUGCCCCAGAGUUGGCCAAGGCACACAAUAGCCAUGCCAGGCCUGAGCCACGUCACCUCCCUGAGAAGCAGAAUGGCCUUAGUGCAGUGCGGACCAUGGAGGCAUUCUACUUUGUCAGCUAUGUGCCUAUUACAGGCCGGCUCUUUGAGCUGGAUGGGCUGAAGGUCUACCCUAUUGACAUGGGCCUUGGGGGGAGGAUGAGGAAUGGACAGAUAAAGCUCAACGGGUCAUCAUGGAACGAAUUGGCCUGGCUACUGAAGGGGAGCCCUACCAUGACAUCCGCUUCAACCUGAUGGCAGUGGUGCCUGACCGCAGGAUCAAGUAUGAGGCCAGGCUGCAUGUGCUGAAGGUGAACCGCCAGACAGUACUGGAGGCCCUGCAGCAGCUGAUUAGAGUAACACAGCCGGAGCUGAUUCAGACCCACAAGUCUCAAGAAUCACAGCUGUCUGAGGAGUUGAAGCCAGCCAGCAUCAAGUCUGCCCUUGUGCUGGAGGCAGGCAGGGCCCCAUCGGCCUCUGAGGGCACGCACACAGAUGGUGCAGAGGAGGUGGCAGGUUCAUGCCCACAGGCUCCAACUCAUAGUCCUCCCAGCAAACCUAAGCUGGUGGUAAAGCCCCCGGGGAGCAGCCUCAAUGGUGUUCCCCCCAACCCGACCCCCAUUGUCCAGCAGCUGCCAGCCUUUCUAGACAAUCACAAUUAUGCCAAGUCCCCCAUGCAGGAGGAGGAAGACCUGGCAGCGGGUGUGGGCCGCAACCGUGUUCCCGUCCGUCCACCCCAGCAGUACUCGGAUGAUGAGGAUGACUAUAAGGAUGAGGAAGAGGAGGAUGUACAGAACACCAACUCUGCCAUCAGAUACAAGCAGAAAGGAACAGGGAAGGCAGGGUCCUUAAGCAGUUCUGCAGAUGGGCAGCUAUCAGUGCUGCAGCCCAACACCAUCAAUGUCUUGGCUGAGAAAGUGAUCCGGCCUUCUGCAGCGCUCUUGGAGAGCUCCAGGUUGUCUGCCCAGGUUCCUGAGACUGAGGGUUGCCGCUGUUCCUGUGUUCGGGUAUCUCCCCGUCUGGGGGGCUGCCUGCCGUCUGUGGUUGUUGCCCGCGUGUCGGAAAUCCUGCUCCCGGGGAGUUUGAGGAGGUGA